RNAcentral lists this ribosomal RNA (460 nucleotides) under uncultured bacterium. RNAcentral describes it as "partial 16S ribosomal RNA". It matches the Rfam family "Bacterial small subunit ribosomal RNA", at positions 338 to 795 of the family's 1533-position model. The record is from RNAcentral.
CCUACGGGAGGCAGCAGUGAGGAAUAUUGGUCAAUGGACGAGAGUCUGAACCAGCCAAGUAGCGUGAAGGAUGACUGCCCUAUGGGUUGUAAACUUCUUUUAUAUGGGAAUAAAAUGUUCCACGUGUGGGAUUUUGUAUGUACCAUAUGAAUAAGGAUCGGCUAACUCCGUGCCAGCAGCCGCGGUAAUACGGAGGAUCCGAGCGUUAUCCGGAUUUAUUGGGUUUAAAGGGAGCGUAGGUGGAUGGUUAAGUCAGUUGUGAAAGUUUGCGGCUCAACCGUAAGAUUGCAGUUGAAACUGGCAGUCUUGAGUACAGUAGAGGUGGGCGGAAUUCGUGGUGUAGCGGUGAAAUGCUUAGAUAUCACGAAGAACUCCGAUUGCGAAGGCAGUUCACUGGACUGCAACUGACACUGAGGCUCGAAAGUGUGGGUAUCAAACAGGAUUAGAUACCCUUGUAGUC